RNAcentral lists this RNase P RNA (350 nucleotides) under uncultured Collinsella sp. Its description in RNAcentral is "Bacterial RNase P class A". It matches the Rfam family "Bacterial RNase P class A". Rfam says of the family: Ribonuclease P (RNase P) is a ubiquitous endoribonuclease, found in archaea, bacteria and eukarya as well as chloroplasts and mitochondria. Its best characterised activity is the generation of mature 5'-ends of tRNAs by cleaving the 5'-leader elements of precursor-tRNAs. Cellular RNase Ps are ribonucleoproteins. The record is from RNAcentral. Lineage: Bacteria; Bacillati; Actinomycetota; Coriobacteriia; Coriobacteriales; Coriobacteriaceae.
AGCGGGCCAGGCGAUCGCGCAUGCAGCAUGUCUGCAUGUGAGGAAAGUCCGGGCUCCACAGGGCAGAAUGCUGGCUAACGGCCAGGCGGGGCGACCCGACGGAAAGUGCCGCAGAAAAGAAGACUCCCACCUACGUCUUGGCGUAAAGGGAAAAGCUGAAACGGUGGUGUAAGAGACCACCAGCGUCGUAGCAAUAUGGCGGCUUGGCAAACCCCAUUCGGAGCAAGCGCAAAUAGGAGUGCUAUGGGCCGGCCCGGCUUGCACUCGGGUAGCGCGCGUGGAAUCGCAUGGUGACAUGCGGGCAAGAUAAAUGAUCGCCCACGACAGAACCCGGCUUAUCGGUCCGCUUC